RNAcentral lists this ribosomal RNA (395 nucleotides) under uncultured Paracoccaceae bacterium. RNAcentral describes it as "bacterial SSU rRNA". It matches the Rfam family "Bacterial small subunit ribosomal RNA", at positions 527 to 922 of the family's 1533-position model. Lineage: Bacteria; Pseudomonadati; Pseudomonadota; Alphaproteobacteria; Rhodobacterales; Paracoccaceae. The record is from RNAcentral.
GGAGGGGGUUAGCGUUGUUCGGAAUUACUGGGCGUAAAGCGCGCGUAGGCGGAUUGGAAAGUUGGGGGUGAAAUCCCGGGGCUCAACCCCGGAACUGCCUUCAAAACUCCCAGUCUAGAGUUCGAGAGAGGUGAGUGGAAUUCCGAGUGUAGAGGUGAAAUUCGUAGAUAUUCGGAAGAACACCAGUGGCGAAGGCGGCUCACUGGCUCGAUACUGACGCUGAGGUGCGAAAGUGUGGGGAGCAAACAGGAUUAGAUACCCUGGUAGUCCACACCGUAAACGAUGAAUGCCAGUCGUCGGAUAGUAUACUAUUCGGUGACACACCUAACGGAUUAAGCAUUCCGCCUGGGGAGUACGGUCGCAAGAUUAAAACUCAAAGGAAUUGACGGGGGCCC